GGUUCCAUAGUGUAGCAGUUAGUACGUCUGUUUUAUACACAGAAGGCCCUGGGUUUGCACCCCAGUGGACCCA
Molecule: transfer RNA, 73 nt
Filed under: Pteropus alecto (black flying fox)
Lineage: Eukaryota; Metazoa; Chordata; Mammalia; Chiroptera; Pteropodidae
Also listed under: 1 other name
Rfam family: tRNA
About the family: Transfer RNA (tRNA) molecules are approximately 80 nucleotides in length.
Source: Rfam by way of RNAcentral